This 433-nucleotide ribosomal RNA is filed under the name uncultured bacterium. RNAcentral describes it as "partial 16S ribosomal RNA". It matches the Rfam family "Bacterial small subunit ribosomal RNA", at positions 29 to 507 of the family's 1533-position model. The record is from RNAcentral.
AACGAACGCUGGCGGCAUGCCUAACACAUGCAAGUCGAACGAGACCUUCGGGUCUAUUGGCGCACGGGUUCGUAACGCGUGGGAACCUGCCCUUAGGUUCGGAAUAACUCCCCGACAGGGGUGCUAAUACCGGAUAAUGUCUUCGGACCAAAGAUUUAUCGCCUUUGGAUGGGCCCGCGUUGGAUUAGCUAGUUGGUAGGGUAAAAGCAUACCAAGGCGACGAUCCAUACAUGGUCUGAGAGGAUGAUCAGCCACACUGGGACUGAGACACGGCCCAGACUCCUACGGGAGGGAGCAGUGGGGAACAUUGCACAAUGGGCGAAAGCAUGAUCCAGCAAUGCCGCGUGAGUGAUGAAGGCCUUAGGGUUGUAAAGCUCUUUUAACCGGGAUGAUAAUGGCAGUACCGGGAGAAUAAGCCCCGGCUAACUACGUG